Molecule: small RNA, 234 nt
Filed under: Desulfosporosinus meridiei DSM 13257
Lineage: Bacteria; Bacillati; Bacillota; Clostridia; Eubacteriales; Desulfitobacteriaceae
Description: BsrG
Rfam family: BsrG
About the family: bsrE, bsrG and bsrH pair through intermolecular interactions with antisense sRNAs. SR4 interaction with the 3'UTR of bsrG RNA promotes bsrG degradation and inhibits its translation. SR5 also overlaps bsrG from nucleotide 163 to 52 (Rfam overlap check).
Source: RNAcentral
UAACAGAAAAGGCUUGCAGGGCGGUCGGCAUUCCUCCAAAGGGAGGUGAUGCCAUGGAAGAAGUAUACCAGACUUUGAUGCUGAUGAUUUCAUUUGCAACAUUGAUUGUGUUAAUACUUUCAUUCCAUAAACGGAAAUAGACCGCCUCUCUCAAAGGUUCGGUCUAUUCCGUUCUUUUGAAGCCGUCCGCUCUUUGAGCGGUUGUUACAUUGGAGUCAUGCGUCAACAUGGCUC